AAUAAACCAAUUAUUUACUUUUUAUCUAUACUUUUUGACUAUACGUCUUAUUUAAAAAAUUUUACGAUUGAUAUUUUUAUUUUUAUUAGAUGAUAAAUCAUAAAUAUUACUUUACGUGUGACUAAUUUUUUUUAAUUUUUUAAAAAUUUUUCAAAUAAGACGGAUGGUUAAACGUCGGACACGGAAACC
Molecule: microRNA precursor, 189 nt
Filed under: Oryza brachyantha (malo sina)
Lineage: Eukaryota; Viridiplantae; Streptophyta; Magnoliopsida; Poales; Poaceae
Description: MIR812 microRNA precursor family
Rfam family: MIR812 microRNA precursor family
Source: Rfam by way of RNAcentral